Molecule: long non-coding RNA, 400 nt
Filed under: Zea mays
Lineage: Eukaryota; Viridiplantae; Streptophyta; Magnoliopsida; Poales; Poaceae
Description: long non-coding RNA (ZMAY_LNC002657)
Source: RNAcentral
UAAACUAAAAUUGCAUAUAAAAAAUAUAUAAACUUAGUAUCCUGUCCUGUGUGUAGAACUAUGGCUGCAUGAUUUGGUGAUUGUUGUUACAUUCUCUGUCCUCGUCAGCUCAAAGAUCCACAGUCCCAUGUCACUGUUCUGCUGCCACAUAUCAAAACUCUGAUCAAGCUUCACUUUACUGUCAUUACUAAGUUAUAACAGGAACUACAUUUUGUUUCAUGCAAACAAAUAACACAAGAGUUUUCCUUGUCUUGUUCCACAGAUAUCCUGAUGAUCCAUUUGAUAGAAUCUGGGAAUCUGAUUCUGUGAGGAGAGCAAAUUACCUUGUUGAUGUUGCUCCAGGGACUGAAAGAAUAUCAACUACAAAACCCAUAUUUGUCGGUACCAACGAAGAACCACC